This 253-nucleotide ribosomal RNA is filed under the name uncultured bacterium. Its description in RNAcentral is "partial 16S ribosomal RNA". It matches the Rfam family "Bacterial small subunit ribosomal RNA", at positions 524 to 776 of the family's 1533-position model. The record is from RNAcentral.
UACGUAGGAGACGAGCGUUGUCCGGAGUUACUGGGCGUAAAGCGCACGUAGGCGGAUCUUUAAGUCAGAGGUGAAAUCCCAAGGCUCAACCUUGGAACUGCCCUUGAUACAGCAUAUCUUGAGUCCGAUAGAGGUGGGUGGAAUUCCUAGUGUAGAGGUGAAAUUCGUAGAUAUUAGGAAGAACAUCGGUGGCGAAGGCGGCCCACUGGAUCGGUACUGACGCUGAGGUGCGAAAGCGUGGGGAGCAAACAGG